AGAUCGAGGCUCUGAAACUCUUCUCUCAGGCUGAACUGGUUUCCUGGUUCCUGGAACACAGAAACAGCAGCAGAAAACUCAGCGUCCACGUGGUUGGUUUCGGCGUGGAGGAGAACGACCCUUCAGACCAGAGCGUCCUCUGCCCCUCAGACGGCGCCAACAACCCCCCGUUGUCUGCGUACGGCGAAGACAGCGAGCUGAGCUUCCUGCCGGCCUGGACGCCGCAGCUGCAGGACGCUGCGCUCAUCACUGACAUCAGAGCCUUCACAGCAUCGCUGCCGCUCCACCCCUACCACAAGAUCCUGCACUAGGUCGGCGUCAGCGGAGCCCCGCCUCCGUCUGGGAUGCUGCUGUAACUGUGGCGACCGCUGGCAACAACAUCCACACUGUGUGAUCAGAGAAGAGGCAAUGUUUUGUUUUGGGGUUUUUUUGUGACACUGCAUUCACAACCUGCGGG
Long non-coding RNA from Sphaeramia orbicularis (orbiculate cardinalfish), 457 nucleotides. RefSeq lists it as uncharacterized. Lineage: Eukaryota; Metazoa; Chordata; Actinopteri; Kurtiformes; Apogonidae. The record is from RefSeq and is a predicted model, not a curated record. The transcript is spliced from 2 exons.